RNAcentral lists this ribosomal RNA (465 nucleotides) under uncultured Acidovorax sp. Its description in RNAcentral is "bacterial SSU rRNA". It matches the Rfam family "Bacterial small subunit ribosomal RNA", at positions 917 to 1381 of the family's 1533-position model. Lineage: Bacteria; Pseudomonadati; Pseudomonadota; Betaproteobacteria; Burkholderiales; Comamonadaceae. The record is from RNAcentral.
GACGGGACCGCACAAGCGGUGGAUGAUGUGGUUAAUUCGAUGCAACGCGAAAACCUUACCACCUUUGACAUGUACGGAAUCCUUUAGAGAUAGAGGAGUGCUCGAAAGAGAGCCGUAACACAGGUGCUGCAUGGCUGUCGUCAGCUCGUGUCGUGAGAUGUUGGGUUAAGUCCCGCAACGAGCGCAACCCUUGUCAUUAGUUGCUACAUUCAGUUGGGCACUCUAAUGAGACUGCCGGUGACAAACCGGAGGAAGGUGGGGAUGACGUCAAGUCCUCAUGGCCCUUAUAGGUGGGGCUACACACGUCAUACAAUGGAUGGUACAAAGGGUCGCCAACCCGCGAGGGGGAGCCAAUCCCAUAAAGCCAUUCGUAGUCCGGAUCGCAGUCUGCAACUCGACUGCGUGAAGUCGGAAUCGCUAGUAAUCGUGGAUCAGAAUGUCACGGUGAAUACGUUCCCGGGUCUU